GUUAUUGUAGCUUACCACAAAGCAUGGCACUGAAGUUGCCAAGAUGGGUAGUUACAAACCCCGAAAACA
Molecule: transfer RNA, 69 nt
Filed under: Chelonoidis denticulatus (yellow-footed tortoise)
Lineage: Eukaryota; Metazoa; Chordata; Testudines; Testudinidae
Description: transfer RNA-Phe
Source: RNAcentral